GAUGAACGCUAGCGGCAGGCUUAACACAUGCAAGUCGAGGGGCAGCAUAAAUAGUAGCAAUACUAUUGGUGGCGACCGGCGGACGGGUGCGUAACGCGUAUACAACCUUCCCUAAACAGGGGGAUAAUCUGGAGAAAUUCGGUCUAAUACCCCAUAACAUCAGAGCAGGCAUCUGUUUUGGUUAAAAUUUCCGGAGGUUUAGGAUGGGUAUGCGUAGCAUUAGCUAAUUGGUGAGGUAACGGCUCACCUAGGCGACGAUGCUUAGGGGGACUGAGAGGUUAACCCCCCACACGGGUACUGGGACACGGACCAGACUCCUACGGGAGGCAGCAGUGAGGAAUAUUGGUCAAUGGGCGGAAGCCUGAACCAGCCAUGCCGCGUGCAGGAUGACGGCUCUAUGAGUUGUAAACUGCUUUUGUACGAGGGUAAAGUGGGCUACGUGUAGCCUUUUGAAAGUAUCGUACGAAUAAGGAUCGGCUAACUCCGUGCCAGCCGCCGCCGUAA
RNAcentral lists this ribosomal RNA (504 nucleotides) under uncultured bacterium. RNAcentral describes it as "partial 16S ribosomal RNA". It matches the Rfam family "Bacterial small subunit ribosomal RNA", at positions 28 to 523 of the family's 1533-position model. The record is from RNAcentral.